CUACGGGAGGCAGCAGUGGGGAAUCUUGCGCAAUGGGGGAAACCCUGACGCAGCGACGCCGCGUGAGUGAUGAAGGCCUUCGGGUUGUAAAGCUCUGUGGAGAGGGACGAAUAAGUGUAGUCGGAUAGGCUGCAUGAUGACGGUACCUCUUUAGCAAGCACCGGCUAACUCUGUGCCAGCAGCCGCGGUAAGACAGAGGGUGCAAACGUUGUUCGGAAUUACUGGGCGUAAAGCGCGUGUAGGCUGCUCGGAAAGUCGGGUGUGAAAGCCCUGGGCUCAACCUAGGAAGUGCACUCGAAACUUCCGAGCUGGAGUUUCGGAGAGGAAGGCGGAAUUCUCGGUGUAGAGGUGAAAUUCGUAGAUAUCGAGAGGAACAUCGGUGGCGAAGGCGGCCUUCUGGACGAUGACUGACGCUGGGACGCGAAAGCGUGGGGAGCAAACAGGAUUAGAAACCCGGGUAGUCC
This 464-nucleotide ribosomal RNA is filed under the name uncultured bacterium. RNAcentral describes it as "bacterial SSU rRNA". It matches the Rfam family "Bacterial small subunit ribosomal RNA", at positions 339 to 796 of the family's 1533-position model. The record is from RNAcentral.